This 477-nucleotide ribosomal RNA is filed under the name uncultured bacterium. Its description in RNAcentral is "SSU rRNA". It matches the Rfam family "Bacterial small subunit ribosomal RNA", at positions 26 to 518 of the family's 1533-position model. The record is from RNAcentral.
AGGACGAACGCUGGCGGCGUGCUUAACACAUGCAAGUCGAGCGAGGCCCUUCCUUCGGGAAGGUGCCCUAGCGGCGAACGGGUGAGUAACACGUGGGCAACCUGCCCCUAGCACUGGGAUAACUCCGGGAAACCGGGGCUAAUACCGGAUAUGACCUUCUUGGGCAUCCUCGAAGGUGUAAAGGAUUCUGGCUAGGGAUGGGCCCGCGGCCUAUCAGCUUGUUGGUGGGGUAAUAGCCUACCAAGGCGACGACGGGUAGCCGGCCUGAGAGGGUGACCGGCCACACUGGGACUGAGACACGGCCCAGACUCCUACGGGAGGCAGCAGUGGGGAAUCUUGCACAAUGGGCGAAAGCCUGAUGCGGCGACGCCGCGUGAGGGAUGACUGCCGUUCGGUUGUAAACCUCUUUCAGCAGGGACGAAGCGAAAGUGACGGUACCGCAGAAGAAGCACCGGCCAACUACGCGCCAGCAGCCGC